GUGGGCUAACAUGGGAGGAAAAGAGGGAGGAGGAAAAGAAAUCUCAUGAUGUUCACUGCCAAGACGAGAGGGAUUUCCAUCAAAGGGCAGCAGGAGAGUGGAUGGAUGGAGUAGUGUGUGUGAUGCUCCAAUGCUUCACCACAGUCCUGUAAUCUCCCAUCUGGAAUGAGUAAAUCAAGACUCUGUAUAUGCUCAACCCUGCAGCCCUGACAGAUUUAUACAGUGCAAACUUGUGUUUCUAGGGCUCCAGAGGCAGAGAAAAUGUAAACUUUUUUGAGACAGUUUAUCACAGGGACUAGUGUGGUUUUGAAGGCUGCGUAUCAUAAACGCUUUAGGUGAGAAAUUGCUUGUUUUCAGGGUUUCAGAUUCACCUUUAUGAGUUGGUAUCAUUUUUGUAUAGGCAUGGUCAUACGGUUGGGUUACUUACUGCCCAAUAUGUAUUUUAAGAGAGGUGAACUUCUUGCUUCUAAUUCAAUGUAAUAGACAAGCUAUGCAACUGCCUAUCAUGUAUCUUUUCUAGUGCUCCAUAUACAUUAUCCAACACAAGAUUAUUUGUUUGAACAUAUACAGAGAUUCUUGCUUUCAAAACAGUAGAUGGAAACAUUUAAAACCAUUUUUGGCUGGGUGGCUGUUUCCCUUCUCUUCCACAAGUUCGAGGUCACAAUUUUAAACUGAGCGUGCGUCGUGUUUGGUGUCAGGGUUGGGGCGAUUGAAUGGCGGCGGCAGGGGAGCUGACAUCUAACAUGAAGGUUAAGUGACAGGCGGGGCACAAUAAGGUCAGCAUCGGCGUGUCACCCUUCCAGACCUCUCAGGAACAGAGCGGCAGGAAAAGGCCCAGUCAACUGCUUGCAGAUGUGUCUGGACGCAUGUUUCACUGACAAACACGAGGCAGGCGCCGCUCUCUGAUGUUCCCACUGGUCACUUCUAAUCUGCAUCUCACAGGCAAAGAGAGCUGCAACACUCCAGUCAGGGUUAGUGUGUGUAAUCUCAGACACCCAACCCAACUAACUUUGGCCCUUGACAGAAUAUUUUGACCAAUCUCCUGAUAGCUUACAUAUUUAGUUGAGUUGAGUAGCUCAAGUGCUAUGACAACUUAUGCAAGUGUUGUUAUUAUUGUUAUGUAAUUAAUGUACUUCAUGUACUGUAAUGCAGCACUUUGAAUUCCUGUCCUGUUUGUGUUGAUCUUUAUUUUUUUUAAUGUAAAUGACAAAAUCCUUUCCUUAGACCCACGUUAGGAAAAGAUGUUUUACAGCACUGUACAUGCAUUCUUCAAAGCACCACUGCAUCUCUGACAGCUGUUUUUAAUGCAUUUUUUUUAAAAACACUCAAACCUACAGCAUGGCUUCCCCGAGGAAAGGCCACUUUGGAAAAGAACAGAUACUUAGCUUAGAUCAGACGGUUUUUUUUGGCGUUAAGUAUGACAGCAAAAUUAUACAAUUUUUAAAGUUAUUCAAUAAAAACAGUGCAUUGUGGGGACAAUUUAGC
Long non-coding RNA from Etheostoma spectabile (orangethroat darter), 1485 nucleotides. RefSeq lists it as uncharacterized. The record is from RefSeq and is a predicted model, not a curated record. NCBI's taxonomy places the organism in Eukaryota, Metazoa, Chordata, Actinopteri, Perciformes, Percidae. The transcript has 2 exons.